UGGGGAAUAUUGGACAAUGGGGGGAACCCUGAUCCAGCCAUGCCGCGUGUGUGAAGAAGGCCUUAUGGUUGUAAAGCACUUUAAGCGAGGAGGAGGGUACUGGUAUUAAUACUACCAGGUACUGGACGUUACUCGCAGAAUAAGCACCGGCUAACUCUGUGCCAGCAGCCGCGGUAAUACAGAGGGUGCGAGCGUUAAUCGGAUUUACUGGGCGUAAAGCGUGCGUAGGCGGCUAAUUGAGUCGGAUGUGAAAUCCCCGAGCUUAACUUGGGAAUUGCAUUCGAUACUGGGAAGCUAGAGUAUGGGAGAGGAUGGUAGAAUUCCAGGUGUAGCGGUGAAAUGCGUAGAGAUCUGGAGGAAUACCGAUGGCGAAGGCAGCCAUCUGGCCUAAUACUGACGCUGAGGUACGAAAGCAUGGGGAGCAAACAGG
Molecule: ribosomal RNA, 430 nt
Filed under: Pseudomonadota bacterium
Lineage: Bacteria; Pseudomonadati; Pseudomonadota
Description: Proteobacteria bacterium partial 16S ribosomal RNA
Rfam family: Bacterial small subunit ribosomal RNA
Source: RNAcentral